RNAcentral lists this ribosomal RNA (580 nucleotides) under Coprinopsis sclerotiger. RNAcentral's name for it is "LSU rRNA". It matches the Rfam family "Eukaryotic large subunit ribosomal RNA", at positions 92 to 654 of the family's 3401-position model. The record is from RNAcentral. Lineage: Eukaryota; Fungi; Basidiomycota; Agaricomycetes; Agaricales; Psathyrellaceae.
AGUGAAGCGGGAAAAGCUCAAAUUUAAAAUCUGGCAGCCUUUGGUUGUCCGAGUUGUAAUCUAGAGAAGUGUUACCCGCGUCGGACCGUGCAUAAGUCUCCUGGAAUGGAGCGUCAUAGAGGGUGAGAAUCCCGUCUUUGGCAUGGACUACCGAGGCUUUUGUGGUGCGCUCUCAAAGAGUCGAGUUGUUUGGGAAUGCAGCUCAAAAUGGGUGGUAAAUUCCAUCUAAAGCUAAAUAUUGGCGAGAGACCGAUAGCGAACAAGUACCGUGAGGGAAAGAUGAAAAGAACUUUGGAAAGAGAGUUAAACAGUACGUGAAAUUGCUGAAAGGGAAACGCUUGAAGUCAGUCGCGUUGGCUGGAAAUCAACCUUGCUUUUGCUGGGUGUACUUUCUGGUUGACGGGCCAGCAUCAGUUUUGACCGAUGGAAAAAGUCUAAAGGAAUGUGGCAUCUCAGGAUGUGUUAUAGCCUUUAGUCGUAUACAUCGGUUGGGACUGAGGAAUUCAGCACGCCGCAAGGCCGGGUCUUUGACCACGUUCGUGCUUAGGAUGCUGGCAUAAUGGCUUUAAUCGACCCGUCU